This is a long non-coding RNA of Dermacentor silvarum, 702 nucleotides long. RefSeq lists it as uncharacterized. The transcript has 4 exons. The record is from RefSeq and is a predicted model, not a curated record. Lineage: Eukaryota; Metazoa; Arthropoda; Arachnida; Ixodida; Ixodidae.
ACAAGCGAGCCAAAGAAUUCCUGCCCUAUGCCUUGGUGCAAUCAAACCUGGACACAGAAGAUUCAGAGGCUGCAAAGAAAGCACGCCGCAAGAGGAAAAGAAAAGUUAUUUUAGAAAGUGAUAGCGAAGAUUCGAGUAGUGUCCAGAGCUCCUUCACGCAAGAUGCUACGGGAUCAGUUCAAUUUGAAAACGAUGGACAUGUGGAGACCCAAAGCACACUUUCUCGGACAACAACCCAGUACAACUACACACCAGGCAUACAGAGGCAAGCAAUGCGACCAGCUUCACAUUUGGGCUUCAAUGACAUGCACCACAGGUCUAUUGUGCCAAGCAGAGAAGAGCACCCAGCAAGACUGAACGCCAGAGUAAACAGGCCAUUGUGCGAUGCAAGGCAGAGCCAUGUGGAAAACAGUAAUUCACAUCACUUUGAACCAGUGCCUUCGACAGCAAACGUUAGUCGACAAAUUGAAAGGCUGGGUGAGCGGUUUGCUGGUAAGAGAAGAUUGCGCACUGUGCUCUUUUAUAUAAUGCUUUGCAGCCUAAAUUCAAUGUGGAAGGGCCUUAGUAAGUAACAAUAAGUUUAGCUAGUAUUUCUUUGCAUUUAUCAUACAUAAUCCGGUUGUAAUGAAAUGAUCUGAUUGUUAGCAGCAGUCUGAUUAGAAGUACACUUUGUUGUUUUCCACGAACAGUUGUGUCAAAAAA